GCAGACAGUGCCCGUGCCGGGGCGGGGAGGCGAGUUCUCCCUGCGGCCGCGGACCCUGGAUGGUGGCGUCGCCCGAAGACGCGCCUCACCGGCCUGGGUGGGGUUGCCUUUUGCCCUCGAGGCUGGCCUGAGCGCUGGGGGGCCGCUGGCUAACCCUGAGGUAGAUACUCGGGAAAUGGGUGGAAUAGGGAAAGGGACUCAGCCCUUCCGCCCUUUUCCCCAGUCGAGGCCCGCGUCACUGCCCUGUGGGUGCAGACGCCUCCAGUGUCACUCCCCUGGGUUUCGCUUGGGCAGAAGAAGAGAUUGUAGGCCGGACCCCAACGCCGAAGCCCUGAGGCUUCUAAUGUGAGGAAAAACACGGAAUGACAAGUGUGGGAAAGAGCAAGCACUAAAUUACUGUCAGAAAAAUAAACGGAGUAGCACAGUGCUGCUCGGUGAUUUACGGGGGCAAUUAGUCACCACCCCACGGCGCUGCUGAGGACAGCACAGCAGCAGACAAGUCAGGCCCACGAGGAAGAAGAGGCUUUGCACUGCUCUCCAGACAACUUUUCAAACAACAAGAGAGGAUAUUUGAGCACAUUAGGUUUUGUGUCUUCAUUCUGGGUACCUACUCUUCAUAUUAUUCUACCAACUUAAUACAUAAACAUAUUUUUAGCACAAUAUGAACCUGUUCUAUGUGUGUUUAAAAGCCUCCAGCAGCAACUUUUUUCUCUCCCACUGUCCAAAGUUGGGUUUUCCCCAUCCCUUAAAAAACAAAACAAAAAAACCUUUCUUCACUCCAAAUUGUCCCCCUGGUGUGUGGUUUUGGUCUGUCUCAUUACUUCUUGCAUCUUGCUACAUGUUCUGCCUUUGCUCAGAGCCACUGGGUGCUAAGGAAUUUGGUCUGCUGCUCCUCUGGGAAAGUUUGGUAAGCUGGUACAAGGAGGUGAUGAACAAGGCUAAAUGAAAAUCAUACAUAAACUUCCCAAUAUUUGUGAACAUGUUCUUUAACAUACCAUACAUAGUUUCUAUGUAUAUGUAACAUAGCAAAACAAACUUGCUAAGGUAUAAUUAAUUGGUAUGCAUGCCUUCAUAAAUAUUCACCAUCAGAAGAAACCUAGAAUGAAAGGUUGUGAAAGAACCCAGGAAUGAGAAAGACUUUAUUGACUAAAGGCCAUGUCUAUGUAGGGGCAACAAUGAAGCUGUGGGUGAGCAAAUGAAGCUUCAUCAGGAGUUUAGUAUCCUUAUGUAGCAUUACCUAAGAAUGCUACCAUAGUAAAUUUCUGAAGUACUUUACCUGUUACAAAGAACGUUUGUAAUCUCCUUUUCUUAUUUGAUCUUGCCCUGGCUUUAGUCAGGAACACCUGCUCAGUUAGAAAUGUAUUCGGUGGGUAUGUACGCAGUUGGAGAAUGUGCCCCAACACACGCCGCCUUUGGCCUGUAUGUUGGAGUCCUAGAGAGGCAGACAAUGUUGAUGAGCUUGGUACCAGCAUGGUGCGCCAUUCAUCUGGACACAAUUUCUGAUAAAGAGGGUCACAACUGGGAGAAACCUCAGAUUCUACUUGCUUCUCUUCUCCACGUUAUUAGACUUUUUUUCCCCUCUUGAAUUUUAUAAGCCCACUCCUUUUAAAACAAUUAAUUAAUAACGAGCGCUGGGAUUUGAUGUAGAAUUGCGUAUUUGUAACUGCAAUGGCACUGGUUUUCAACUACCCUGUAACAAGGAAGCAAUUCUAACCAGCAAAAGAGGCAGACGUGUUUCUGUGCAACAUCACAGGCGUGUGAAAUUGUUCAGAUAUUGAGAUAUCAGGAGUGAUAUAAAUUGGAAAUUUAACCAAAAAUAUUUUCCAUCAGUGAACAAAGCCUAUUUUAAAGUGCCUCUUGCAUUUUUCAGAUCUUUCUCUUUCUUUUUCCCAAAGUCACAUUGUAGUUUCUGAUAAAGGAACACACUGGGAAAACUAAGCACAUAUUUAAUCAAUGAAAUUUAAGGUGUAAAAAUUCUGCAUUUCUGACAAAUUUAAUGUUCACUCUUUUCUUGAUUUAAAUAGAGCAUUCUAAAAAUAUUACGCCUAUAGGGGAUAAAUUUUUAUAUGCAUGUUAUUUUUCUUUACAAAGUGUGGGCUAGUAAAGAGUGAAAAAGACCUUGGCUAUUGUACUUAUUUCUUGAAAGAAAUAAUAGCAUCUUAAUGAUUGGAUUCAAAUCUCUACUUAUCACACAACUUCCAUACAGUUCAAAGAGAGGACUUGGAUUGAAUGAAAACAGAGGGCUGGGGCUUCCUACAUUCCCCUGUGUUUGUGUUCAUACAGAAUAUUUAUGCAAUAUUCUGACUUGGCCAUAAUCUAUAAUUCCUGCCUAUUAUUCUCAGUUGCAACUAUAAAUUCUAGAUUAAUGGUUAUAAUUUUGGUAAGGCAUACAUGAAAAGUUAUAUGUUCCUGCUUGAAAGGAGGAUCAUUAAAUAUUCAUUAUUACCACUCAAAUUAGUUGUCAUGCUCUGUGUAAUAGUUACCCGUUAUCAUUUCACUAGUUUGGAUUCAGCAGUAAGUGAACAGCAAUAUAUAGCUCAUAGCGCCAGAGGACUUUUUUUGUCGGGGAACAGGGAGAGAAAUGAUUUUAAAACCCAUUUGACAUAUUUAUGUUGACAAAUUAUUUAAAGGAAUUACUGUGUUGUAAUAAACAUGUUUGUAUGUUGGAAUAGGAUUGUGGCUAAAUUUGCUUCUAGCUGUUUAAUUACUCUUAUUAUGAUUGUGAAAAACAGUGCUUCUUCAAGUAGUUCCAAGGAAAAAAAAUAGAAAAUGGAAAAGUUGAGCUAUUUCAGUCUUUUGCAGGUAUCUAACCUUGCCAUGAAAAAGCACUUUUCAUUUUUGUAAGUAGGUAUUGAAAUCUUGCUUUUUCAGCGAAGCUAGAUUGUAUAAUUUAUUAGUUUUCUCCGUCUGGUAACACAUCCUUAAGAAAAAAAAUUGCCAAAAGUAAAGCAUGAGAUGGAUUUUAAAAUAAAUGUUGUGGAUGAACAC
RNAcentral lists this small RNA (2988 nucleotides) under Pan troglodytes (chimpanzee). RNAcentral describes it as "retained intron". Lineage: Eukaryota; Metazoa; Chordata; Mammalia; Primates; Hominidae. The record is from RNAcentral.